GUGAGUGGCCAUAUCACCCUGCAGCCCAAGACUGGUUGCCCACUUAAGCUAAGCAGGGUUGAGCCUGGUCAGUAGGCUAAUCAGUACCUGGAUGGGAGACCUCCUGGGAAAACUAGGUUGCUGUUGGAA
This 129-nucleotide ribosomal RNA is filed under the name Sinocyclocheilus grahami. The record is from RNAcentral. Lineage: Eukaryota; Metazoa; Chordata; Actinopteri; Cypriniformes; Cyprinidae.